AGCAAGAUGACUGAAAGACUAAGUAAUAGAUUGUAAAUCUAAACAAAAAGGUUAAAUUCCUUUUCUUGCUA
This 71-nucleotide transfer RNA is filed under the name Poliometra prolixa. RNAcentral describes it as "tRNA-Tyr". It matches the Rfam family "tRNA". From Rfam's summary of the family: Transfer RNA (tRNA) molecules are approximately 80 nucleotides in length. Their secondary structure includes four short double-helical elements and three loops (D, anti-codon, and T loops). Further hydrogen bonds mediate the characteristic L-shaped molecular structure. tRNAs have two regions of fundamental functional importance: the anti-codon, which is responsible for specific mRNA codon recognition, and the 3' end, to which the tRNAs corresponding amino acid is attached (by aminoacyl-tRNA synthetases). tRNAs cope with the degeneracy of the genetic code in two manners: having more than one tRNA (with a specific anti-codon) for a particular amino acid; and 'wobble' base-pairing, i.e. permitting non-standard base-pairing at the 3rd anti-codon position. Lineage: Eukaryota; Metazoa; Echinodermata; Crinoidea; Comatulida; Antedonidae. The record is from RNAcentral.